Molecule: unclassified non-coding RNA, 343 nt
Filed under: soil metagenome
Description: partial contains 5.8S ribosomal RNA, internal transcribed spacer 2, and large subunit ribosomal RNA
Rfam family: 5.8S ribosomal RNA (bases 1-120)
Source: RNAcentral
GAUGAAGAACGCAGCGAAAUGCGAUAAGUAAUGUGAAUUGCAGAAUUCAGUGAAUCAUCGAAUCUUUGAACGCACAUUGCGCCCGCUAGUAUUCUGGCGGGCAUGCCUGUCCGAGCGUCAUUUCAACCCUCAAGCCCCCGGGCUUGGUGUUGGGGAUCGGCGAGCCUCCGCGCCCGCCGUCCCCUAAAUCUAGUGGCGGUCUCGCUGUAGCUUCCUCUGCGUAGUAGCACACCUCGCACUGGGAAACAGCGCGGCCACGCCGUUAAACCCCCAACUUCUGAACGUUUGACCUCGGAUCAGGUAGGAAUACCCGCUGAACUUAAGCACAUCAAUAAGCGGAGGA